Molecule: ribosomal RNA, 537 nt
Filed under: Claudrilus sp. 184615583
Lineage: Eukaryota; Metazoa; Annelida; Polychaeta; Protodrilidae
Also listed under: 1 other name
Description: SSU rRNA
Rfam family: Eukaryotic small subunit ribosomal RNA
Source: RNAcentral
ACGGCGAAACCGCGAAUGGCUCAUUAAAUCAGUUAUUGUUUAUUUGAUGGUAACCUGCUACAUGGAUAACCGUGGCAAUUCUAGGGCUAAUACAUGCUAAAAGGGCGUUGCUCUGCUUCGCUCGCUUUUAUUAGACCGAACCAAUGUGCUUCGGCACUUUUUUUGGUGACUCUGGAUAAUUCCGCUGAUCGCAUGGUCUCGCACCGGCGAUGCAUCAUUCAAAUUUCUGCCUUAUCAACUGUCGAUGGUAAGAUAUGGGCUUACCAUGGUUGUAACGGGUAACGGGGAAUUAGGGUUCGAUUCCGGAGAGGGAGCCUGAGAAACGGCUACCACAUCCAAGGAAGGCAGCAGGCGCGCAAAUUACCCACUCCCGGCACGGGGAGGUAGUGACGAAAAAUAACAAUACGGGACUCUAUUGAGGCUCCGUAAUUGGAAUGAGUACACUUUAAAUCCUUUAGCGAGUAUCUAUUGGAGGGCAAGUCUGGUGCCAGCAGCCGCGGUAAUUCCAGCUCCAAUAGCGUAUAUUAAAGUUGUUGC